UGAUUGAUUUUGGUCGCCAACGAGUGGCGGACGGGUGAGUAACACGUAGGUAACCUGCCCAGAAGCGGGGGACAACAUUUGGAAACAGAUGCUAAUACCGCAUAACAGCGUUGUUCGCAUGAACAACGCUUAAAAGAUGGCUUCUCGCUAUCACUUCUGGAUGGACCUGCGGUGCAUUAGCUUGUUGGUGGGGUAACGGCCUACCAAGGCGAUGAUGCAUAGCCGAGUUGAGAGACUGAUCGGCCACAAUGGGACUGAGACACGGCCCAUACUCCUACGGGAGGCAGCAGUAGGGAAUCUUCCACAAUGGGCGCAAGCCUGAUGGAGCAACACCGCGUGAGUGAAGAAGGGUUUCGGCUCGUAAAGCUCUGUUGUUAAAGAAGAACACGUAUGAGAGUAACUGUUCAUACGUUGACGGUAUUUAACCAGAAAGUCACGGCUAACUACGUGCCAGCAGCCGCGGUAAUACGUAGGUGGCAAGCGUUAUCCGGAUUUAUUGGGCGUAAAGAGAGUGCAGGCGGUUUUCUAAGUCUGAUGUGAAAGCCUUCGGCUUAACCGGAGAAGUGCAUCGGAAACUGGAUAACUUGAGUGCAGAAGAGGGUAGUGGAACUCCAUGUGUAGCGGUGGAAUGCGUAGAUAUAUGGAAGAACACCAGUGGCGAAGGCGGCUACCUGGUCUGCAACUGACGCUGAGACUCGAAAGCAUGGGUAGCGAACAGGAUUAGAUACCCUGGUAGUCCAUGCCGUAAACGAUGAGUGCUAGGUGUUGGAGGGUUUCCGCCCUUCAGUGCCGGAGCUAACGCAUUAAGCACUCCGCCUGGGGAGUACGACCGCAAGGUUGAAACUCAAAGGAAUUGACGGGGGCCCGCACAAGCGGUGGAGCAUGUGGUUUAAUUCGAAGCUACGCGAAGAACCUUACCAGGUCUUGACAUCUUGCGCCAACCCUAGAGAUAGGGCGUUUCCUUCGGGAACGCAAUGACAGGUGGUGCAUGGUCGUCGUCAGCUCGUGUCGUGAGAUGUUGGGUUAAGUCCCGCAACGAGCGCAACCCUUGUUACUAGUUGCCAGCAUUAAGUUGGGCACUCUAGUGAGACUGCCGGUGACAAACCGGAGGAAGGUGGGGACGACGUCAGAUCAUCAUGCCCCUUAUGACCUGGGCUACACACGUGCUACAAUGGACGGUACAACGAGUCGCGAACUCGCGAGGGCAAGCAAAUCUCUUAAAACCGUUCUCAGUUCGGACUGCAGGCUGCAACUCGCCUGCACGAAGUCGGAAUCGCUAGUAAUCGCGGAUCAGCAUGCCGCGGUGAAUACGUUCCCGGGCCUUGUACACACCGCCCGUCACACCAUGAGAGU
This 1353-nucleotide ribosomal RNA is filed under the name Limosilactobacillus fermentum. RNAcentral's name for it is "bacterial SSU rRNA". It matches the Rfam family "Bacterial small subunit ribosomal RNA", at positions 71 to 1411 of the family's 1533-position model. The record is from RNAcentral. Lineage: Bacteria; Bacillati; Bacillota; Bacilli; Lactobacillales; Lactobacillaceae.